RNAcentral lists this unclassified non-coding RNA (1573 nucleotides) under Hevea brasiliensis (rubber tree). Lineage: Eukaryota; Viridiplantae; Streptophyta; Magnoliopsida; Malpighiales; Euphorbiaceae. The record is from RNAcentral.
AUCUUUUGGAAAUAUUGAGCAGUAGACAAAGCAUUGUUUCAAAGCAGCAGGGAGAUGAAGAUAGCUCAAGCUUAAAGCGGGUAGAAUUCCCCUACUGUCAGAUAUGGACCAGAAUUUGCUGUUCAAUAAAUCUUCCCAAUUGUCAAUAUUAGUUUUGGAUCGCAAAAGACCACCGAUUAUGGAUACUGCCAAGGGCAAACCUUUGCAUUUUCUCACAAUUUUCUUGCCAAUGAACUCCAGCUGUGGAUUUAUGCUAGAUUCAUUCUCAAAUGCAUGUUGCCUAAGCAACGACCAGCAAUCUUCUUCUGGCAAUUGCUCAACAUAGUGGUCGGGGACAGUGCGCAUGAUUGAUGAAACACCCACAUUCCUUGUAGUUAUCAAAAUCUUGGAAACUUGUAAACCAGUUAUAAAAGGCUUUCGAAAGGCAAUCCAUUGAUCAUAAUCCUCGUUCCAUACAUCAUCUAGAAUGAGGAGGAACUUCUUGCCAGACAAUUUCUCCUGCAGAUUCACUUGUAGACUAUUCAAAUCAUUUGCUGCACAAGUGUCCGGGCUAAUUGACUCAAGUAUAGUCUUAGUUAGCUUUUUGACAUCAAAUCGAUCAGACACACAAACCCACACCUUCAAGUCGAAAUGCUCCUUCACCAUAUGGUCAUUGUAGACAAAUUGAGCAAGGGUUGUCUUGCCAACCCCUCCCAUUCCAACAAUUGGUAUCACGCAGACACCAUUAGAACUAACAUUUUCAUCAGAUACCAACAUUCGAAUGAUCUUCUCUCUAUCAUCAUUUCUACCAAAAACACGAGGCUCACUCAAUAAGGAAGUUGUCUCUAGUCUUUGUCCUGCUCGAGAUGAACUCCCCCCAACAGUAUCACUCAAACCAAUAACAUCUUUUUGAUUUACAAGGUAUUCUAAUGUAUCAACGAUUCUAUUAAUUUUGGAUUCUGUCCCCUCCUUAAACCCACAUACAGUAUCAGAAAUUAUCUUGCGACAUUUAGAGAAGACAUCCCAUACCUUUCUAUUGAUCUGAGACUUGGGUUCCAGCUGAUCUUCCAUUGCUUUGAAUGCAAUCUCAUCCAACACAUCCUCUGCAUCGUAAACCACAUGUUUGAGCUGCUUCAGCCAAGCUCCAUUAACAGGCUUCUCAAAUCGCUUUUCCUCUGCAUCAUUCACAACUGUAGCAACAAAGGGUAAUAUUAACUUCAACUUCUCCAGGGGCUUAUUGAGCUCCCCUCCCCUUAUAAAGUUCAAGAAGUCCAAAGAAAGCAACUUAUCCAACACACCCUCAAGAAAAGUAGAAAGAACAACCUCCCCAACAACAUCCAUACCCUGAAAAUGGAGGAGAAGAUUGGAAUAUGGUAAGAUCAGCUACUCUUAUAUAUAACUACGUAACUGACAGGAAGUGGAAAGUAGGUGAAGAUCGAACGCAGAGUUGAAAAAGUACUGGAAGAGUAAAACUCCAGCUCAGAUCAACUGGACAUACCUAACUAUUUCUUUAAUGGAAACAAGAGGUUGGGCAUAGGUGCAGCAAGCAAUCAACCAUCUUCAGCUCUAGAAGAUGAGAUGAUAACAAAGGCGU